RNAcentral lists this ribosomal RNA (254 nucleotides) under uncultured bacterium. Its description in RNAcentral is "partial 16S ribosomal RNA". It matches the Rfam family "Bacterial small subunit ribosomal RNA", at positions 524 to 777 of the family's 1533-position model. The record is from RNAcentral.
UACGAAGGGGGCUAGCGUUGUUCGGAAUUACUGGGCGUAAAGCGUAUGCAGGCGGAUCUUUAAGUCAGGGGUGAAAUCCCGAGGCUCAACCUCGGAACUGCCUUUGAUACUGGAGAUCUUGAGUCCGGGAGAGGUUAGUGGAACUGCGAGUGUAGAGGUGAAAUUCGUAGAUAUUCGCAAGAACACCAGUGGCGAAGGCGGCUCACUGGUCCGGUACUGACGCUGAGGUGCGAAAGCGUGGGGAGCAAACAGGG